RNAcentral lists this long non-coding RNA (666 nucleotides) under Crocodylus porosus (Australian saltwater crocodile). Its description in RNAcentral is "lncRNA (ENSCPRG00005005289.1)". The record is from RNAcentral. Lineage: Eukaryota; Metazoa; Chordata; Crocodylia; Crocodylidae.
GAAAAAUUGACAGUAGUUCCAGUGUCCCCAUCAUUUAGAACCCUCCACAGCUAUAUCAGAUAAACAUGGUAGGAAAUUCAAAUAAAUAUUUGCCCAUUGCAUUAAACAUUAACCACUUUUCAAAGCACAUCUCAAUGCAUCCCAUAUUGCCGUGUAACCACAGUGCUGUGAUUUGACUGUGGAGCUGUUGUUGCCAUCUGGAUGGGAUAGAAGGGGGAGCUGAAAGAGAGAGAGGGAUAUGGGAAAUUACAAUGCAUCAUCUGCUCAGGUCAUUCAGUGUCUUGCAAGCUUAAUCAGGCUUUCUUCAUCCUCCAUUACACUCAUUAGGUCCUGUUCAGUUAGUGCUCAGUGUUGAUCUCUAUCUUGGUCAAGACAAUUGUUGCUGAUUAACUAUAAUUACUGGUAAUGAUCCCAACCUGCUUUCAGCGGGCACAUGCCAUCAUCUUGUCCAGGCGUCUGUUCUGCGGGUCAUGGAGGAAAAUGGAGAUUGCUGGCCAAUAUGUUGUAUCCCAGGAACGUCAAGUCCUUUUGAGAACUGAACGUCAAGUCCUUUUGACAACUGAUCCUUCAGAAAUCCAUCUUUCAGAUGGGAUAUUUGAGGAGCUAUCACUUGUGCACAAGGACAUGCAAGAAAACAAGAAAGUAAGAAAACAGCAUAAAUGGUGA